RNAcentral lists this ribosomal RNA (250 nucleotides) under uncultured bacterium. RNAcentral's name for it is "partial 16S ribosomal RNA". It matches the Rfam family "Bacterial small subunit ribosomal RNA", at positions 524 to 775 of the family's 1533-position model. The record is from RNAcentral.
UACGGGGGGAGCAAGCGUUGUUCGGAUUUACUGGGCGUAAAGGGCGCGUAGGCGGCCACCGCAAGUCGACUGUGAAAUCUCCGGCUUAACCCGGAAAGGUCAGCCGAUACUGCGGGGCUAGAGUGCAGAAGGGCAACUGGAAUUCUCGGUGUAGCGGUGAAAUGCGUAGAUAUCGAGAGGAACACCUGCGGCGAAGGCGGUUGCUGGGCUGACACGUGACGCUGAGGCGCGAAAGCUAGGGAGCGAACGG